This 450-nucleotide ribosomal RNA is filed under the name uncultured bacterium. RNAcentral describes it as "bacterial SSU rRNA". It matches the Rfam family "Bacterial small subunit ribosomal RNA", at positions 354 to 796 of the family's 1533-position model. The record is from RNAcentral.
GUGGGGAAUAUUGGACAAUGGGCGCAAGCCUGAUCCAGCCAUGCCGCGUGGGUGAAGAAGGCCUUCGGGUUGUAAAGCCCUUUUGUUCGGGACGAAAUCGUACGGGCGAAUAUCCCGUGCGGAUGACGGUACCGAAAGAAUAAGCACCGGCUAACUUCGUGCCAGCAGCCGCGGUAAUACGAAGGGUGCAAGCGUUACUCGGAAUUACUGGGCGUAAAGCGUGCGUAGGCGGUUUGUUAAGUCCGCUGUGAAAGCCCUGGGCUCAACCUGGGAAUUGCAGUGGAUACUGGCAAGCUAGAGUGCGGUAGAGGAUGGUGGAAUUCCCGGUGUAGCGGUGAAAUGCGUAGAGAUCGGGAGGAACACCCGUGGCGAAGGCGGCCAUCUGGACCAGCACUGACGCUGAGGCACGAAAGCGUGGGGAGCAAACAGGAUUAGAAACCCCGGUAGUCC